Molecule: long non-coding RNA, 1238 nt
Filed under: Pan troglodytes (chimpanzee)
Lineage: Eukaryota; Metazoa; Chordata; Mammalia; Primates; Hominidae
Description: lincRNA
Source: RNAcentral
AAAAUCAGGGCCGGGCGCAGUGGCUAACGCCUGUAAUCCCAGCACUUGGGAGGCCCAGGCGGGUGGAUCAAAGGUCAGGAGUUCAAGACCAGCCUGGCCAAUAUGCAAUAUGGUGACACCCCGUCUCUACUAAAAAUACAAAAAUUAGGUGGGCCUGGUGGCACGUGCCUGUAGUCCCAGCUAUCCUGGAGGCUGAGGCAGAAGAAUCACUUGAACCAGGGAGUUAAAGGUUGCAGUGAGCUGAGAUCAUGCCACUGCACUCCAGCCUGGGCGACAGAGUGAGACUCUUUCUCAAAAAUAAUAAUAAAAAAAAGAAGGUAUGAAAAUCAGACACAUGCCAUCUUUUUAGUUCCUAAGGCUCUCACAAGAUUAUUUUGAAUAAACACCACCCAUUCAAACUGGUUUUUCCCUUUCCUGUAUUAUAUGAAGGGGAAAAUCCUCAUGGGAUGGAUAGUUUCCAGAAUUUGCCCAUUUCCAAGCCAGUACAGUAAAUGACACUGGGGCCGCUGAGUGGACCACUGUAGAAAGCAAUGGUUCUUGUUUCUUAUUUUUUACAUUAUUUUCAGGGAUGUGUGUCCCAUCAAAGUCUCAUUACGGAGGAGUUGAAUUUUCCCGGGACACCUAUGGCAGGGCUGCCAGACACCAGCCUAAACUGCUCUCACUCUCAUUUCCAGACAAAGUGCCUCCGGUGGCCUGUAGGGAGCCAUGGGCAAUCACAGCAACCCUCUCUGAGGCCAAGGAAGUUCAGGUAUGAGCUGUACCUGAGGCUGCCCUGGCCUCUCCUCUCCCUUCAGUCCUCACUGGGUGUCUUCUCACCCUGCCCUCUGCCAGCUCCACUGCUUUCCCUGCUGGGUUUCAUUGCUUGUGCAAGGAAGAUACGGAAGGAGCCCAGCCACACAAUGGGUUGGUUCUUUCUAGCCCUUCCCAGACUGACUAUAGGCCAGCGGGGUCUGUAUCUAGAAAUCUUUUAUUACUCUUAAGUUGAACAGUUUAAUGAUUAGUCAUUUUAAUUUAGAGUUGAGAUUCCAUUAGUAUUUGACUGUGGCCUUCUUAUUGAGAACUCUGUUCAACUUUGAAAUGCCAAAGCAGGAGCCUUUGUUCUUUGAUCCUGCCGUGAGUUAAGAAAUUCUGUAUUUCUUCAGAAGUGUUUCAUUUUGUGUAAUGAAGUCAAGGGUUAGAGUGACUCAGUGUUCCAUGAGUUAAGUGUCUUUGUAGAAUGAACAGUAAACUUAUCUCCU